RNAcentral lists this small RNA (1259 nucleotides) under uncultured bacterium. RNAcentral's name for it is "bacterial SSU rRNA". The stretch from base 1 to 492 matches the Rfam family "Bacterial small subunit ribosomal RNA", at positions 1045 to 1533 of the family's 1533-position model. The record is from RNAcentral.
AUGGCUGUCGUCAGCUCGUGUCGUGAGAUGUUGGGUUAAGUCCCGCAACGAGCGCAACCCUCAUCUUUAGUUGCCAUCAGGUUAAGCUGGGCACUCUAGAGAAACUGCCUGCGAUGAGCAGGAGGAAGGCGGGGAUGACGUCAAGUCCUCAUGGCCCUUAUGGACUGGGCUACACACGUGCUACAAUGGCGGUGACAGUGGGAAGCGAUAGGGCGACCUGGAGCAAAUCCCCAAAAGCCGUCCCAGUUCGGAUUGUACUCUGCAACUCGAGUGCAUGAAGUUGGAAUCGCUAGUAAUCGUGGAUCAGCAUGCCACGGUGAAUACGUUCCCGGGCCUUGUACACACCGCCCGUCACACCAUGGGAAUUGGUUCUACCCGAAUGCGGUGAGCUAACCUGCUUGCAGGAGGCAGCCGACCACGGUAGGGUCAGUGACUGGGGUGAAGUCGUAACAAGGUAGCCGUAGGGGAACCUGCGGCUGGAUCACCUCCUUUCUAAGGAAUAUGGCGUUAGGAUACAUCUCGUAUCCCAAUUCCUGUUCACUUAACACAGAUGCCGGCACGUCGCCGUCGGCGUAUCUCUUCCAUCACGAAUGCCGAAUGCGGAGACGGUGUACGCUCUCUCCACCAGUUGGUUGCUACCAAAACGGGCCUGUAGCUCAGCUUGGUUAGAGCGCACGCCUGAUAAGCGUGAGGUCGGUAGUUCAAGUCUACCCAGGCCCACCAUUUCGCGACCGAUGUCAGCUAACGAUUUUACAUCGAGCGCAUUGGAAACGGGGGUGUAGCUCAGUUGGGAGAGCGCCUGCUUUGCAAGCAGGAGGUCAUCGGUUCGAUUCCGUUCACCUCCACCAAUUCCCCAGAACUUAAAGAAGUUUCACGGAGAAUUUAGUGGUAGGCCGCAUAAAAUAAGGCAUUCGUUAGAGAAAUACAGGUUUGCAGGUUCAUAAGAACCGGCAAGGCCUCGGAAAUUUCCGGGGUAGGCUGUUUGUCAUUGUGAAGAAGAUUGUUCCUGGAUACGAAUUGUUAGAGUGUCUGCCUCGUGUUUACGAAGUAAGGCCUCGAGUGGUUCGUAUGCAAUUAUAAUUAAAAGUUCAAUAGUGUCGUAGGUUGGCCCCUACGCACGAAUUUUGUAAUCAAGCGCUGAAGGGCAUUUGGUGGAUGCCUUGGCAUCAAGAGGCGAUGAAGGACGUAGCACGUUGCGAUAAGCCGCGGGGAGUUGCGAGCAAACUUUGAUCCGCGGAUUUCCGAAUGGGGAAACCCGG